UUGAAGGCUCUUUUUAGAGCCACACAUAGAACAUAUUUUUUUUG
Molecule: non-coding RNA, 44 nt
Organism: Struthio camelus australis
Lineage: Eukaryota; Metazoa; Chordata; Aves; Struthioniformes; Struthionidae
Source: Rfam